CAGCCGCCGCGGGAAUACGUGGGGUGCGAGCGUUAAUCGGAAUUACUGGGCGUAAAGCGUGCGCAGGCGGUUAUAUAAGACAGAUGUGAAAUCCCCGGGCUCAACCUGGGACCUGCAUUUGUGACUGUAUAGCUAGAGUACGGUAGAGGGGGAUGGAAUUCCGCGUGUAGCAGUGAAAUGCGUAGAUAUGCGGAGGAACACCGAUGGCGAAGGCAAUCCCCUGGGCCUGUACUGACGCUCAUGCACGAAAGCGUGGGGAGCAAACAGGAUUAGAUACCCGAGUAGUCCCUGUCUCUUACAC
This 301-nucleotide ribosomal RNA is filed under the name uncultured bacterium. Its description in RNAcentral is "partial 16S ribosomal RNA". It matches the Rfam family "Bacterial small subunit ribosomal RNA", at positions 509 to 809 of the family's 1533-position model. The record is from RNAcentral.